GGCCUACACAUGCAAGUCGAGGGGUAACAGGGGAGCUUGCUUCUGCUGACGACCGGCGCACGGGUGCGUAACGCGUAUACAAUCUGCCUUAUACUGGGGGAUAGCCUUUGGAAACGAAGAUUAAUACCCCAUAGCAAGUGAAGAUGGCAUCAUCAUCACUUUAAAGAUUACGGUAUAAGAUGAGUAUGCGUCCUAUUAGUUUGUUGGUAAGGUAACGGCUUACCAAGACUACGAUAGGUAGGGGCCCUGAGAGGGGGAUCCCCCACACUGGUACUGAGACACGGACCAGACUCCUACGGGAGGCAGCAGUGAGGAAUAUUGGACAAUGGGCGAGAGCCUGAUCCAGCCAUGCCGCGUGCAGGAAGACGGCCCUAUGGGUUGUAAACUGCUUUUAUACAGGAAGAAACACUCCCUCGUGAGGGAGCUUGACGGUACUGUAAGAAUAAGGACCGGCUAACUCCGUGCCAGCAGCCGCGGUAAUACGGAGGGUCCGAGCGUUAUCCGGAAUCAUUGGGUUUAAAGGGUCCGUAGGCGGGCAGCUCAGUCAGUGGUGAAAGUCUGUGGCUCAACCAUAGAAUUGCCAUUGAUACUGGUUGUCUUGAAUUAUUGUGAAGUGGUUAGAAUAAGUAGUGUAGCGGUGAAAUGCAUAGAUAUUACUUAGAAUACCAAUUGCGAAGGCAGAUCACUAACAAUAUAUUGACGCUGAUGGACGAAAGCGUGGGGAGCGAACAGGAUUAGAUACCCUGGUAGUCCACGCCGUAAACGAUGGAUACUAGCUGUUCGAGAGCAAUCUUGAGUGGCUAAGCGAAAGUGAUAAGUAUCCCACCUGGGGAGUACGUUCGCAAGAAUGAAACUCAAAGGAAUUGACGGGGGCCCGCACAAGCGGUGGAGCAUGUGGUU
Molecule: ribosomal RNA, 900 nt
Filed under: Flavobacteriaceae bacterium U-1-5
Lineage: Bacteria; Pseudomonadati; Bacteroidota; Flavobacteriia; Flavobacteriales; Flavobacteriaceae
Description: bacterial SSU rRNA
Rfam family: Bacterial small subunit ribosomal RNA
Source: RNAcentral